AAGAAUUGAACUUAAAGACUUUUGGGGGUUGGAGAACCAAGUAUGGUAGAAAGUUGAGUUUUCUUGUUUUAUCUCGCUUGUUUUAUUUAGUGAAAGGAAGUAAUUUUUAAAUUUGUGAUCUUUAAUUGAAAUCGGCCAUUUCUAUAAUGGUGUUUCCAUAGCCACAUGUUCUUCAUAGCUGAUCAGGUUCAUUUUCCCACUUCAUUGUGGUGGAAGACUGCUGAUAUUGGUUUAUUUCUUCCUAGAUGUGAAAUUAUCUAAAAAAUUAUCUGGAUAUCUGGGCCCUAUGCAAGUUUGAUUCAUAGUUUUUUGUAGUAAUCUGGAAAAUUCAAAAAAUAGUAGUAUUUAUUGGAAGAUGAAUUUGAUGCCUGUUGAUAGGGAGAAAAAGAUAUUAUGAUAUCAUCAUCUGUUUAUGGUAGGGGGUGAACUAGAUACAAUCUUAUUGCCUUAUUUAAUCAGCAGAUCUAACUGCAUUUGUCUAUAUUUCCUAUGAUGGAAUCACUUGUCAUGUUUGGCAGCCUUUAAUCAGAAUCCUCCAAAAUGUGUAUUAGAUUAUAAUUGUGAUUCAUUGCAGUAGUGCAUUCCAAUGCACCCCGAGUAAGUUUCUUGGCUGACAUGUAAUCUUUAUGUAUCUCACUAUUUAGUGGUUACCCUAAUUGUAUGUAUAUCUUUCAUCUAUGUGUGUGUGUGUGUGUGUGUGUGUGUGUGUGUGUACACACGCAUUGACAUGAAAAUUCCUAGAUUUGACAGAGGCAUCAUUAUCAGGUGUAACAAUAUCCAUUUUAGCAGCAUUUGCAAUGAUGUUUUUCUUCUGAAUGGUAUGUUUUACUUGUACAUUUUCUUCUUAAGUAAUUAACAGUAUUUAUAGAUCGAUACAUGCAUCAUUCUUCUUGCCUUCAGGCUUCAAUCUAAUGCUUUAUUGAUCACUUUGUUUGUUUAUCCUCACAAGCACCACAUGUAGGAUUUGGGACUGGAUUUUGAACUAUUUGGGGCUGGCUUGUUAGGCCAUUACUAUUCAAAAUUUUAAUUUGCUCAGCCUAGCUUUUAGAGGAUGGCCUGUUUACACCCUUAACUAUUCAAAUGAAGCAGAUACAGACUCUAUUUCAACAUUGAGACUAAGGAUGGAGUCCAAAAGAUCAUACGUCUUUUCGUUUAUAUUGAGGAGAACCAUGGAAGGCAAUUGGCUUUUCAGUUUCUGAGCAGAUUCUGUUGCAACAAG
Long non-coding RNA from Magnolia sinica, 1219 nucleotides. RefSeq lists it as uncharacterized. The transcript is spliced from 3 exons. The record is from RefSeq and is a predicted model, not a curated record. NCBI's taxonomy places the organism in Eukaryota, Viridiplantae, Streptophyta, Magnoliopsida, Magnoliales, Magnoliaceae.